This is a long non-coding RNA of Bos taurus (domestic cattle), 388 nucleotides long. NCBI's taxonomy places the organism in Eukaryota, Metazoa, Chordata, Mammalia, Artiodactyla, Bovidae. The record is from Ensembl.
GGCAUUCCUUGUGGGCAUACUUCCCAGGAGAAGCAGAUGCUUGUCAGAGUCACAAGCCUGCCCCAUAUUUGCCAAGACAGCACAAGCCUGGAAUAGCAAUUAUGCGACUUACAGCCUUGGACCCUGGGCAAGUCCCUGCACCAUCAUCUGUCAAGGAAAAUCCACUUCAUAGGAGACAGUGCAGACCAACUUCUUACCCAGCCCACAUUUUUAAGCAGGAGACUAGAGUCUAGCCCCUGGGUUGGGAAGAUCCCCUGGAGGAAGAAAUGGCAGCACACUCCAGUAUUCUUGCCCAGAAAAUUCCAGGGACAGAGGAUCCUGGUAGGCUAUAGUUCAUUCGGUGGCAAAAAGAGUUGCGUGUGACUGAGCACACACAAACAAUUUUACA